This 84-nucleotide transfer RNA is filed under the name Candidatus Pacearchaeota archaeon. RNAcentral describes it as "tRNA-Leu". It matches the Rfam family "tRNA". From Rfam's summary of the family: Transfer RNA (tRNA) molecules are approximately 80 nucleotides in length. Their secondary structure includes four short double-helical elements and three loops (D, anti-codon, and T loops). The record is from RNAcentral. Lineage: Archaea; Nanobdellati.
GCGGAGAUGCCGGAGCGGUCAAACGGGCUAGGUUUAGGUCCUAGUGGCUUAGUGCCUACAGGGGUUCAAAUCCUCUUCUCCGCA